GAAAAUGUAUCAGCUUAUUAUUAAAUAAUUAUGACGUUCUUUCCAAUACAAAAAGUGUAGUAACUAUUGUUUCCAAACUGCGUUACCCACUCCAGCCAGCAGCUGGCGAUGUACGUCUUUCAGGAGAUGCUUCUUGUGUGACGUAUAAUGGACUGGACGGGACGCUUCUUCAGGAACAACAACGUGGCUACUCUAUCAACCACCUCGGUGGCUUGCUAGCCAACAAAAAAGUGAAAGAUUAACGCUUUAGACCAUCUUAAUGUACAUGAUCUAAUAUCAGUGUUUUAAACACAGUUCUGUUGACGUAUUAACUGGUUAACUGUAACCUAAUUUGCAAACUUGUUAAAGAUUGAUGCUGAGCCUAGCACUAGGCUAGUCGCUAAUGCUAACUAGCUAGCUAACAUCCCUGACCAUGAGUUCAUUAAAGUACUCAUCCCCUGCUAUAGAAGAGGAGGUCUGCUGUUUGGAGAAAGAAGUUCUGGCGCUGAACAUUGAAGAAGAGGAGGAUGUUACAGUGAAAGAGAAAGAACCUUUUAGAAUGAAAAAGGAGGAAGAGGAGACUGUUAUAGUGAAGGAAGAAGAUGCUGUUAUAGUGAAAGAACAUUUCAGAAUGAAAAAGGAGGAAGAGGAGACUGUUAUAAUGAAGGAAGAAGAUGCUGUUAUAGUGAAAGAACAUUUCAGAAUGAAAAAGGAGGAAGAGGAGACUGUUAUAGUGAAGGAAGAAGAUGCUGUUAUAGUGAAAGAACAUUUCAGAAUGAAAAGGGAGGAAGAGGAGGCUGUUAUAGUGAAAGAAGAGAAAGAACCGUUUAGAGAGGAAGAGGAUGCUAUCUCAAUAAAGGUGAAGGAGGAAGACGUUUUGGGAGUGAAAGAGGAGACAGAAUAUCAGAUUAACACCAGAGAGAGACAUGACUAUGGUGGAUCCUCUGGGGAGCUUCAACAACAUCCUGAUGCUGACGAGGCAGAGAAGAGUCUCUCCAGAUCAGAACACCAGAUGGUACAGCUUGGUCUGGACAAGCAAACAGCUUUCUCUUGCUUGGGGGCUGGGUUUCUGUAAACCACUUUAUGACAACAGUGACAUCAGCAUCCAUAUGAUGUGCGUCUGUGUCCCCUCUUUAUGGUUACCAGGACAACACUAGCCCUUCCUCCCAUCCCGGAGUCCCUGUAUCGUGCCUCUCCUGGUAGCACCUUACUGCUGGGGUAUGAAGAGGUUGUCUGUGCUGCUGGUGGACUGCAGGAAAACAACGGGGCUGAGUGGAACUGUGAGAGGAGGAGAAGAGAAGAAAGGAUCAGAUUUGACACACCAAAGUAAGUGCUGUAGUUUAUUUGGAACAAAUACAAUAGAUCUGCCCACUGGUAUCUG
Molecule: long non-coding RNA, 1360 nt
Filed under: Oncorhynchus kisutch (coho salmon)
Lineage: Eukaryota; Metazoa; Chordata; Actinopteri; Salmoniformes; Salmonidae
Description: lncRNA (ENSOKIG00005044932.1)
Source: RNAcentral